GACGAACGCUGGCGGCGUGCUUAACACAUGCAAGUCGAACGGAAAGGCCCUGCUUUUGUGGGGUGCUCGAGUGGCGAACGGGUGAGUAACACGUGAGUAACCUGCCCUUGACUUUGGGAUAACUUCAGGAAACUGGGGCUAAUACCGGAUAGGAGCUCCUGCUGCAUGGUGGGGGUUGGAAAGUUUCGGCGGUUGGGGAUGGACUCGCGGCUUAUCAGCUUGUUGGUGGGGUAGUGGCUUACCAAGGCUUUGACGGGUAGCCGGCCUGAGAGGGUGACCGGCCACAUGGGGACGGAGAUACGGCCCAGACUCCUACGGGAGGCAGCAGUGGGGAAUAUUGCCCAAUGGGCGGAAGCCGGAUGCAGAAACGCCGCGUGCGGGAUGACGGCCUUCGGGUUGUAAACCGCUUUCGCCUGUGACGAAGCGUGAGUGACGGUAAUGGGUAAAGAAGCACCGGCUAACUACGUG
This 468-nucleotide ribosomal RNA is filed under the name uncultured bacterium. RNAcentral's name for it is "partial 16S ribosomal RNA". It matches the Rfam family "Bacterial small subunit ribosomal RNA", at positions 28 to 507 of the family's 1533-position model. The record is from RNAcentral.